RNAcentral lists this ribosomal RNA (450 nucleotides) under uncultured bacterium. Its description in RNAcentral is "partial 16S ribosomal RNA". It matches the Rfam family "Bacterial small subunit ribosomal RNA", at positions 338 to 795 of the family's 1533-position model. The record is from RNAcentral.
CCUACGGGUGGCUGCGGUAAGGAAUAUUGGUCAAUGGACGAAAGUCUGAACCAGCCAUCCCGCGUGCAGGAUGAAAGCCCUAUGGGUUGUAAACUGCUUUUAGCAGAGAAGAAAAGCUUCCAUUUAUGGGGGUCUGACGGUAUCUGCAGAAUAAGCACCGGCUAACUCCGUGCCAGCAGCCGCGGUAAUACGGAGGGUGCGAGCGUUAUCCGGAAUUACUGGGUUUUAGGCGUGCUAUGGCGGAGUAGGUGAAAUCUUGUCGCUUAACGAUAAAAUUGCCAAUGAUACUGGUACUCUUGAAUUGGGUUGAGGUUAGCGGAAUGUGACAUGUAGCGGUGAAAUGCAUAGAUAUGUCAUGGAACACCAAUUGCGAAGGCAGCUAACUGGGCCUUGAUUGACGCUGAGGCACGAAAGCGUGGGUAGCGAACAGGAUUAGAUACCCCAGUAGUC